This is an RNA transcript of Cynoglossus semilaevis (tongue sole), 3135 nucleotides long. It is a transcript of the gene named monocarboxylate transporter 13, with no coding region annotated. NCBI's taxonomy places the organism in Eukaryota, Metazoa, Chordata, Actinopteri, Pleuronectiformes, Cynoglossidae. The record is from RefSeq and is a predicted model, not a curated record. The transcript is spliced from 7 exons.
GCCAAUUUACACAUGGACCUAUUGCAUUAUCUCCAUUGGUGUGGGUGUGGAUAGCUGCUCUGCGUUAGCAUAACAAGUCUUUGCUUAUGUAUUCAACUCUUAGAGGCUAAAUACCAAGAUUUUUCAGCUUCUGGGUAGAGGUGAAGAAGCCUCUUGGAUGAAGUACAGACGUUUCGAUGCCGACUCCUGAACGUCUGAGGAUGAAGAAUUUGCACAGCUGUUUGUGUGUGGUAAAUGAACAGAAGUGGUUGUGCUAAGUUGAAUUUGAUACUUGUGGCGAGAAACUGCAGAAAGAAUGUGAAUUUUACACGUUCAUACAGUAGAGUCAGGUGUCAUCUGCAUAGAAAUUCAUUUUGUUCAGAUUUGAAUAUAUGUUUAUAUCAGGUUCAAACUUUAUAUUAGGUAUUGAAUUGAUGUGUGUUUUCCUCUGUUUGUAGGAACCAGCCCAGGUCACCAUGGAAUCUCAAGUGAAGGUCAAGAAGAAGCGAGUGGCUGUUACAGUGCCACCUGCAGCUCCUGAUGGUGGCUACAGCUGGCUCAUCUUAAUCUCCAGCUUCUUUGUCUUUGGCCUGACCUUUGGAGUUAUCAAAUCAUUUGGUGUCUUCUUCACCAAGAUACACCAACACUUUCAAACCACGGCCACAGGAGCAUCAUGGAUCACCUCCAUUAUGGUGGCCACGAUUUAUAUCGUAGCUCCUCUAGCUUCUGUGCUGAGUGCUUGCUUCAGCCAUCGAGCUGUGGUGAUAAUCGGUGGACUGAUCUGCAGCUUAGGAGUCAUAGCUGGGUCUUUUUCUGACAACCUGAUCGAACUCUGCGUAACGGUGGGGUUUCUGAAUGGUGUUGGCUACGCUCUGUCCUGGAUCCCGACCGUGACAAUCCUGAGCUUCUACUUUGAGAAGAAGCGUCCACUGGCAAACGCCUUGUCCACCACUGGAGAAUGCAUCUUUACUUUUGUCCUCACACCCUUGUUUCAGGUUUUGAUUAAUGCUUACACCUGGAGGGGUGCUCUCCUGUGCCUUGGAGGUCUACAGCUGCUUCUGUGUGUGUGUGGUGUACUGCUGAGACCCCUGAGAGCCUCCAAAAAUGAGGCUUUUGUCAGUGAAGUUACAACAGAAGAGCAAGGCUUCGUGCAGCAAACGCUUUUAUUAGAGCCGUCCGAGCCGAAGCCACCUCUCGGUCAGGAGUCUGCGGUGAUACAGACGUGUGAAGCGCCUGAUGUGGGAAAUGUGACAGUGCAACUUGAAGAACCGGAGGAGCAAAGUUUAAAAGAAUCACGAUGCACACCGAAAACCAGUGAAUUCAUGGCUAAAGUUCUGCGUUAUAUGGAUUACAGCCUUAUCACUAAUGCAAACUUCAUGGUCUUCACCAUGUUCGGGGUGUUUUCUUGUCUGGGUCUCUUUGCCCCGGUCUUGUUUCUGGUUCCUUACGCCCGCAGUAAAGGGGUGCAGGAGCACCACGCUGCUUUACUCGUGUCCAUCUCUGCCGCUCUGGAUCUGCUCGGAAGAAUCGUCUUUGGUUGGGUCGCAAACCUCAGACUGAUCCAGGCGGUGAAACAGUUGACAGCGACUGUGCUUCUCCAGGGGAUCCUGUUGCUCCUUUUUCCACUGGCCUCCUCCUACAUUGAACUCGUCGCUCUCAGCGCAGCCUACGGCCUCACAUUCGGAGCCACGGUCUCCAUCCACAUCACCGUGUUGUCCGAGGUCGUCGGCGUCCACAGGCUCGGCAGCGCCCUCGGCUUUUUCAUGCUCAUACGCAGCGGCGGGGGCCUGCUCGGACCACCCAUUGCCGGUCUCCUCAUUGACAGGACGGGUGAUUACGGAACAGCUUUCCUGAUGGCAGGAGUGGCCUUCAUCAUCUCCACCAUGUUCCUGCUUGCUCUUCAUUGCAUGAACACUAGGGGUCAGAAACCGACUCUUAAUGUGUCGUUGAACCAAACAGAACAAAACCCAUGAGGAGCCGAAUGUGACGUGGAGGAUGCUGGGAGAUUUCUGUGGCACUGACCCAUGAAGAAUGAUGGCAUGUGGCGUGUUAAAGGGACAGGAGGCCCCUGUGUUUCUAGGAUGCUGGGAGAUUUCAGUGGCACUGACCCAUGAAGAAUAAAGGCAUGUCCGCUCUCUCAGUCUCUCCUCACUUCAAAUCCAACUUUUUCUCAAAUUACGACACCACCACCACCACCAGUCCCUCCACUGCACCACCCGACCAAUCAUGUCUCCCCCUUUUUUUCCUUCUCCCCUCGGCUUUCUCUGGUGUCUGGUAGGAGAGCGGGAGAAAGAAUUCAAAGUCCUCACAAAUCUCAGUGAUUUUAACUUUUACAGGAGCCGGGAUUAUGUCACAGUGAGGCCCAGGCUUCACCGGCACAAAAGGCAGCGAUUUGUGUGUGUGUGUGUGUGUGUGUGUGCGUGAGUGUGUGUGAAAGAGCGAACCUCCAGGUUCAUUCACGUACAAGUCAGAAACCUUUGAGAGAGAUUAUUAUUUUCUUGAUUUUCUAAACAAAUUUUUAAUCUGAAAAAUCACUCACAGGGAAGCUGUGGAUUAAUCACAAUCAUUUGUAAUUAAUCAUGAUCAACACACACACAUGCAGAAACACACAGACCUAAUCCACUCCCCAGGUCCUGACCCCACCUCAAAUAAAUGACAUCCAAACUGUCCCCACUGGACACUGGGAUUGUCUCAGCAACAAUAGGUUUUUUUUUUACAAACUCUGUCCCCACAAGUAUAGCUACACCAAACACACACACACACACACACACUCCCUGCCCUUUCCAAAGCUCUCUCCUCCCUCCUUCCACCCCCCCUCCCCUCUCUGUGUCUCCCUCUCACAGACAUGUGUUCAGGCUACACCAGCAGACACUUUGAGCUGCUGACACGCUGCUGCUGCUGCCGCUGCUGCUGCUGCUGAUGCUGCUGCUCCUUCUGUCUUUCCCUACAUUUUUUGCUCCUCUCUCCCUCCGUCCUCCUCUCUCUCCUCCCUCUACUUCACCAUUCUCUCCUCAACUCUUUUCCCCUCAGGCUGAUGUGGCUCGUGUAAUCUGUGGCUGCACAUGAACAACUCACCGUUGCUGCUCCAGUUCAGAGGAACCGCAACAGAGGAGUGGGAGACGAGCAGAGGACACAUUUUGGAAUAGGCAGAAGAAG